AUAGGUUUGGUCCCAGCCCUUCUAUUGGCUGCUAGCAAAACUACACAUGCAAGUAUCCGCCUUCCAGUGAGAAUGCCCUAUAAAUCACCCAUGUGAUAAAAAGGAGCAGGUAUCAAGCACACUAUACAAGUAGCUCAUAACGCCUUGCUCAACCACGCCCCCACGGGAAACAGCAGUGAUAAAAAUUAAGCAAUAAACGAAAGUUUGACUAAGUUAUGCUUACUAAGGGUUGGUAAAUUUCGUGCCAGCCACCGCGGUCAUACGAUUAACCCUAGUCAAUAGAUCCACGGCGUAAAACGUGUUUAAGGAAUAUUUUUAUAAAGUCAAACUUUAGCUACGCUGUAAAAAGCUACAGCUACUGUAAGCCCUAACGCGAAAGUAACUUUAAGACACCUGAAUACACGACAGCUAAGGCCCAAACUGGGAUUAGAUACCCCACUAUGCUUAGCCAUAAACUUAAAGAGUCCUCCCAACAAGACUCUUCGCCAGAGUACUACUAGCCAAAGCUUAAAACUCAAGGGACUUGGCGGUGCUUCAUAUCCCUCUAGAGGAGCCUGUUCUAUAAUCGAUAAACCCCGAUCAACCUCACCAACCCUUGCCAACUCAGCCUAUAUACCGCCAUCUUCAGCAAACCUUAAAAAAGAACUAUAGUAAGCUCAAUCACAAUACGCAAAAACGUUAGGUCAAGGUGUAGCCUAUGGGUUGGAAAGAAAUGGGCUACAUUUCCUAUUACUAGGAUAUCACCCUCUUUAUACGAAAGUCCCCAUGAAAUUAAGGACUAAAGGUGGAUUUAGCAGUAAACUAAGAAUAGAGUGCUUAGUUGAAUAAGGGCCAUGAAGCAUGCACACACCGCCCGUCACCCUCCUCAAAUAUACAAGGGUAUUAAUUAACCCUAUUACCACUUACCUUAACUAUUAGAGGAGAUAAGUCGUAACAAGGUAAGCGUACUGGAAAGUGCGCUUGGAUAACC
This 970-nucleotide non-coding RNA is filed under the name Artibeus lituratus (great fruit-eating bat). RNAcentral describes it as "12S ribosomal RNA". It matches the Rfam family "Bacterial small subunit ribosomal RNA". The record is from RNAcentral. Lineage: Eukaryota; Metazoa; Chordata; Mammalia; Chiroptera; Phyllostomidae.